Molecule: transfer RNA, 65 nt
Filed under: Euthystira luteifemora
Lineage: Eukaryota; Metazoa; Arthropoda; Insecta; Orthoptera; Acrididae
Description: tRNA-Leu
Source: RNAcentral
GCUAUUUUGGCAGAUUAGUGUGUUGAAUUUAGAAUUCAUUUAUAUAGAUUUUUCUAUAAAUAGUA